CCUACGGGAGGCAGCAGUGGGGAAUAUUGCGCAAUGGGGGCAACCCUGACGCAGCAACGCCGCGUGAUUGAAGAAGGCCUUCUGGUUGUAAAGAUCUUUAAUCAGGGACGAAAAAUGACGGUACUUGAAGAAUAAGCUCCGGCUAACUACGUGCCAGCAGCCGCGGUAAUACGUAGGGAGCAAGCGUUAUCCGGAUUUACUGGGUUUAACGGGCGUGUAGGCGGGCCUGUAAGUCAGAAGUGAAAUCUGGGGGCUUAACCCCCAAAAUGCUUUUGAAACUGCGGGUCUUGAGUGAUGGAGAGGCAGGCGGAAUGCGCGGUGUAGCGGUGAAAUGCGUAGAUAUUGGGAGGAACACCGGUGGCGAAGGCAGCCUACUGAACAAUAACUGACGCUGAGGCGCGAAAGCGUGGGGAGCAAACAGGAUUAGAUACCCUUGUAAUC
RNAcentral lists this ribosomal RNA (441 nucleotides) under uncultured bacterium. RNAcentral describes it as "partial 16S ribosomal RNA". It matches the Rfam family "Bacterial small subunit ribosomal RNA", at positions 338 to 795 of the family's 1533-position model. The record is from RNAcentral.